UGAUAUGUUUGAUAUAUUAGGU
RNAcentral lists this microRNA (22 nucleotides) under Danio rerio (zebrafish). RNAcentral's name for it is "dre-miR-190a". Its record names the gene dre-miR-190a. The record is from miRBase by way of RNAcentral. RNAcentral also lists the same sequence under 21 other names. Lineage: Eukaryota; Metazoa; Chordata; Actinopteri; Cypriniformes; Danionidae.